RNAcentral lists this ribosomal RNA (291 nucleotides) under uncultured Methylobacterium sp. RNAcentral describes it as "partial 16S ribosomal RNA". It matches the Rfam family "Bacterial small subunit ribosomal RNA", at positions 137 to 443 of the family's 1533-position model. The record is from RNAcentral. Lineage: Bacteria; Pseudomonadati; Pseudomonadota; Alphaproteobacteria; Hyphomicrobiales; Methylobacteriaceae.
UUCGGAAUAACGCUGGGAAACUAGCGCUAAUACCGGAUACGCCCUUUUGGGGAAAGGCUUGCUGCCGAAGGAUCGGCCCGCGUCUGAUUAGCUAGUUGGUGGGGUAAUGGCCUACCAAGGCGACGAUCAGUAGCUGGUCUGAGAGGAUGAUCAGCCACACUGGGACUGAGACACGGCCCAGACUCCUACGGGAGGCAGCAGUGGGGAAUAUUGGACAAUGGGCGCAAGCCUGAUCCAGCCAUGCCGCGGGGAGUGAUGAAGGCCUUAGGGUUGUAAAGCUCUUUUGUCCGG